Non-coding RNA from Beta vulgaris subsp. vulgaris (sugar beet), 103 nucleotides. The record is from Rfam. Lineage: Eukaryota; Viridiplantae; Streptophyta; Magnoliopsida; Caryophyllales; Amaranthaceae.
GGGUGCGAUCAUACCAUCACUAAUGCACCAGAUCCCAUCACAACUCCGCAGCUAAGCAUGCUUAGGAUGGGUGACCUCCUAGGAAGUCCACGUGUUGCACCCC